This 517-nucleotide ribosomal RNA is filed under the name Pezizomycotina sp. 38253-R2. RNAcentral's name for it is "eukaryotic LSU rRNA". It matches the Rfam family "Eukaryotic large subunit ribosomal RNA", at positions 88 to 611 of the family's 3401-position model. Lineage: Eukaryota; Fungi; Ascomycota. The record is from RNAcentral.
GGCGAGUGAAGCGGUAACAGCUCAAAUUUGAAAUCUGGCCUCACGGUCCGAGUUGUAAUUUGUAGAGGAUGUUUCGAGCAUGGUCUGGCCUAAGUUCCUUGGAACAGGACGUCAUAGAGGGUGAGAAUCCCGUAUGCGGCCAGGUGCCUACGCUCAUGUGAAGCUCCUUCGACGAGUCGAGUUGUUUGGGAAUGCAGCUCAAAAUGGGUGGUAAAUUUCAUCUAAAGCUAAAUAUUGGCCAGAGACCGAUAGCGCACAAGUAGAGUGAUCGAAAGAUGAAAAGCACUUUGGAAAGAGAGUUAAACAGUACGUGAAAUUGUUGAAAGGGAAGCGCUUGCAACCAGACUUGCGCGCGGCUGAUCAUCCGGUGUUCUCACUGGUGCACUCGGUCGCGCUCAGGCCAGCAUCGGUUUUGGUGGUUGGAUAAAGGUCCUAGGAAUGUGGCUCCUCUCGGGGAGUGUUAUAGCCUAGGGCGCAAUGCAGCCUACCGGGACCGAGGACCGCGCUUCGGCUAGGA